Molecule: ribosomal RNA, 475 nt
Filed under: uncultured bacterium
Lineage: Bacteria
Description: bacterial SSU rRNA
Rfam family: Bacterial small subunit ribosomal RNA
Source: RNAcentral
AACGAACGCUGGCGGCGCGCUUAACACAUGCAAGUCGAGCGGUCUGGGGGCAACUCCAGGCAGCGGCGGACGGGUGCGUAACACGUGGAUAAUCUGCCCUAGAGACGGGGAUAACCAGCCGAAAGGUUAGCUAAUACCCGGUAAGCUCACGGACCCGAAGGGGUCAGGGAGAAAAGUCGCAAGACGCUCUAGGAUGAGUCCGCGGCCCAUCAGGUAGUUGGCGGGGUAAAGGCCCACCAAGCCUACGACGGGUAGCUGGUCUGAGAGGACGACCAGCCACACUGGAACUGAGACACGGUCCAGACUCCUACGGGAGGCAGCAGUGGGGAAUCUUGCGCAAUGGGCGAAAGCCUGACGCAGCGACGCCGCGUGUGCGAUGAAGGUCUUCGGAUCGUAAAGCACUGUCGCCCGGGAAAAAGAAAGUGAUGGUACCGGGAGAGGAAGCACCGGCUAACUCUGUGCCAGCAGCCGCGGU